GAUGAACGCUAGCUACAGGCUUAACACAUGCAAGUCGAGGGGAAACGGCAUUGAGUGCUUGCACUCUUUGGACGUCGACCGGCGCACGGGUGAGUAACGCGUAUCCAACCUUCCCAUUACUGUGGGAUAACCUGCCGAAAGGCAGACUAAUACCGCAUAGUCUUCGAUGACGGCAUCAGAUUUGAAGUAAAGAUUUAUCGGUAAUGGAUGGGGAUGCGUCUGAUUAGCUUGUUGGCGGGGUAACGGCCCACCAAGGCAACGAUCAGUAGGGGUUCUGAGAGGAAGGUCCCCCACAUUGGAACUGAGACACGGUCCAAACUCCUACGGGAGGCAGCAGUGAGGAAUAUUGGUCAAUGGACGGAAGUCUGAACCAGCCAAGUAGCGUGCAGGAUGACGGCCCUAUGGGUUGUAAACUGCUUUUGUAUGGGGAUAAAGUUAGGGACGUGUCCCUAUUUGCAGGUACCAUACGAAUAAGGACCGGCUAAUUCCGUGCCAGCAGCCGCGGUAAUACGGAAGGUCCAGGCGUUAUCCGGAUUUAUUGGGUUUAAAGGGAGCGUAGGCUGGAGAUUAAGUGUGUUGUGAAAUGUAGACGCUCAACGUCUGACUUGCAGCGCAUACUGGUUUCCUUGAGUACGCACAACGUUGGCGGAAUUCGUCGUGUAGCGGUGAAAUGCUUAGAUAUGACGAAGAACUCCGAUUGCGAAGGCAGCUGACGGGAGCGCAACUGACGCUGAAGCUCGAAGGUGCGGGUAUCGAACAGG
RNAcentral lists this ribosomal RNA (761 nucleotides) under Prevotella melaninogenica. RNAcentral's name for it is "bacterial SSU rRNA". It matches the Rfam family "Bacterial small subunit ribosomal RNA", at positions 28 to 776 of the family's 1533-position model. The record is from RNAcentral. Lineage: Bacteria; Pseudomonadati; Bacteroidota; Bacteroidia; Bacteroidales; Prevotellaceae.